This 446-nucleotide ribosomal RNA is filed under the name uncultured bacterium. RNAcentral describes it as "partial 16S ribosomal RNA". It matches the Rfam family "Bacterial small subunit ribosomal RNA", at positions 338 to 795 of the family's 1533-position model. The record is from RNAcentral.
CCUACGGGGGGCUGCAGUCGAGAAUCAUUCACAAUGGGGGAAACCCUGAUGGUGCGACGCCGCGUGGGGGAAUGAAGGUCUUCGGAUUGUAAACCCCUGUCAUGUGGGAGCAAAUUAAAAAGAUAGUACCACAAGAGGAAGAGACGGCUAACUCUGUGCCAGCAGCCGCGGUAAUACAGAGGUCUCAAGCGUUGUUCGGAAUCACUGGGCGUAACGCGUGCGUAGGCGGUUUCGUAAGUCGUGUGUGAAAGGCGCGGGCUCAACCCGCGGACGGCACAUGAUACUGCGAGACUAGAGUAAUGGAGGGGGAACCGGAAUUCUCGGUGUAGCAGUGAAAUGCGUAGAUAUCGAGAGGAACACUCGUGGCGAAGGCGGGUUCCUGGACAUUAACUGACGCUGAGGCACGAAGGCCAGGGGAGCGAAAGGGAUUAGAUACCCCGGUAGUC